Molecule: small nuclear RNA, 114 nt
Organism: Pteropus vampyrus (large flying fox)
Lineage: Eukaryota; Metazoa; Chordata; Mammalia; Chiroptera; Pteropodidae
Source: Ensembl
GUGCUGGUGUUGGCACCACAUAUACUGAAAUUGGACCCAUACAGAGAAGAUUAGCAUGGUCCUGGGCACGAAUCACAGACGAAUUUGCAAAUGUGUGGAGCAUUUCGUAUUUUU